CCCCCUGUAGCUCAAUGGAUAGAGCAUCGGCCUUCUAAUCCGACGGUUGCGCGUUCGAGUCGCGCCAGGGGGACCA
Molecule: transfer RNA, 76 nt
Filed under: Clavibacter capsici
Lineage: Bacteria; Bacillati; Actinomycetota; Actinomycetes; Micrococcales; Microbacteriaceae
Description: Clavibacter michiganensis subsp. capsici tRNA-Arg
Rfam family: tRNA
About the family: Transfer RNA (tRNA) molecules are approximately 80 nucleotides in length. Their secondary structure includes four short double-helical elements and three loops (D, anti-codon, and T loops).
Source: RNAcentral